Molecule: long non-coding RNA, 595 nt
Filed under: Cyanistes caeruleus (blue tit)
Lineage: Eukaryota; Metazoa; Chordata; Aves; Passeriformes; Paridae
Description: lncRNA (ENSCCEG00000003042.1)
Source: RNAcentral
GCCUUAUUUGCAUUGCUAUGCAAAGAUGCAUCCCACCCAAAAAUCAAGCCAGCAGACAUUAUAAAGGCCUCAGGAGGUUGUCUCGUUUCCAGAGGGACCCCACUAGCUCCUCUGGUGGGACAUGAAAAUGUUUAUUUUUCCAGUGCUGGCUGUAACAGAGCAGGAUCCAUCCAAAGAGUAACCAAAUGCUUGCUGUGGAAGCAGCUGUGUCCCAUCCCUGGAAGUUACCCAUUAAUUAUUCUCCUACAUCCGUGAAAACAUUUUGGAGCCUUUUGGUACACAAAAAAACCCAGAAACUUCAAGGAAUGAGGAUGUAGUCCAGGAAUGCAGAGAAGAUUUUUAUUCAAAUUCUCCUUCACAAAGUCUGUCACCAGGUUACAGUAGCUCAGUUCUAGACCAUGCAGAACAGAAAUUAGCACCAGGAACUAAAGAGGAUAUUCUGGAAGCAAGGAAAUCGAUGCUCCUCUGGCAAUCCAAGGCAUAUGCCCUAGGUGUGGGAUUUAAAAAAAUUAUUCUGACUGAAUUUUGGCUCUUUUUAUGCAUCCGUUUUGUAUCUUUAUAGCAAAUCUCAAAUAAAGAGAAGUCCAGUCAAUCA